UAAAGUUGUUGCGGUUAAAAGCUCGUAGUCGGAGGUGUGUCUCGGACGGUCGGUUCGCCGCUUGCCGGUGCUCAACUGGCCGGUCCGGACGUCCUGCCGGUGGGGCCGCGAGGCUCCGUUAUCCUUCUUUGGUCCUCUUCACCGAGUGCCUUGGUGGGCCGGCACGUUUACUUUGAACAAAUUAGAGUGCUCAAAGCAGGCCGUUGGUCGCCUGAAUACUGUGUGCAUGGAAUAAUGGAAUAGGACCUCGGUUCCAUUUUGUUGGUUUUCAGAACUCGAGGUAAUGAUUAAUAGGGACGGACGGGGGCAUUCGUAUUGCGACGUUAGAGGUGAAAUUCUUGGAUCGUCGCAAGACGAACCGAUGCGAAAGCAUUUGCCAAGAACGUUUUCGUUGAUCAAGAACGAAAGUUAGAGGUUCGAAGGCGAUCAGAUACCGCCCUAGUUCUAACCAUAAACGAUGCCAGCUAGCCAUCCGCCGAAGUUCCUUCUAUGACUCGGCGGGCAGCUUCCGGGAAACCAAAGCUCUUGGGUUCCGGGGGAAGUAUGGUUGCAAAGCUCAAACUUAGGAAU
Molecule: ribosomal RNA, 570 nt
Filed under: Lestoidea conjuncta
Lineage: Eukaryota; Metazoa; Arthropoda; Insecta; Odonata; Lestoideidae
Description: SSU rRNA
Rfam family: Eukaryotic small subunit ribosomal RNA
Source: RNAcentral